RNAcentral lists this unclassified non-coding RNA (380 nucleotides) under uncultured bacterium. RNAcentral describes it as "contains 16S-23S intergenic spacer region". The record is from RNAcentral.
UCCGGCUUGACGCCGGCAGUCCCCCGAGAGUCCUCAGCAUGACCUGUUAGUAACACGGGGCAAGGGUUGCGCUCGUUGCGGGACUUAACCCAACAUCUCACGACACGAGCUGACGACAGCCAUGCAGCACCUGUGCUAGUGUUCCGAAGAAGGGCCCCACCUUCAUGAGGCUUUCACUAGCAUGUCAAACCUAGGUAAGGUUCUUCGCGUUGCAUCGAAUUAAACCACAUGCUCCGCUGCUUGUGCGGGUCCCCGUCAAUUCCUUUGAGUUUUAGCCUUGCGGCCGUACUCCCCAGGCGGGUCACUUAAUGCGUUAGCUACGGCACAGGAGGAGUCGACACCUCCCACACCUAGUGUUCAUCGUUUACGGCUAGGACUAC